GCCUGGGUAGCUCAGUUGGUUAAGCAUCUGACUUCAGCUUAGUUCAUGAUCUCACAGUUUGUGGGUUCGAACCCCACAUCAGGCC
Molecule: transfer RNA, 85 nt
Filed under: Felis catus (domestic cat)
Lineage: Eukaryota; Metazoa; Chordata; Mammalia; Carnivora; Felidae
Rfam family: tRNA
About the family: Transfer RNA (tRNA) molecules are approximately 80 nucleotides in length. Their secondary structure includes four short double-helical elements and three loops (D, anti-codon, and T loops). Further hydrogen bonds mediate the characteristic L-shaped molecular structure. tRNAs have two regions of fundamental functional importance: the anti-codon, which is responsible for specific mRNA codon recognition, and the 3' end, to which the tRNAs corresponding amino acid is attached (by aminoacyl-tRNA synthetases). tRNAs cope with the degeneracy of the genetic code in two manners: having more than one tRNA (with a specific anti-codon) for a particular amino acid; and 'wobble' base-pairing, i.e. permitting non-standard base-pairing at the 3rd anti-codon position.
Source: Rfam by way of RNAcentral